This 253-nucleotide ribosomal RNA is filed under the name uncultured bacterium. RNAcentral describes it as "partial 16S ribosomal RNA". It matches the Rfam family "Bacterial small subunit ribosomal RNA", at positions 524 to 776 of the family's 1533-position model. The record is from RNAcentral.
AACGUAGGACGCGAGCGUUAUCCGGAGUUACUGGGCGUAAAGCGCGGGCAGGCGGUCUGACAAGUCUGAUGUGAAAUCCCCGGGCUUAACCUGGGAACGGCCUUUGUGACUGCACGGCUAGAGUGUGUCAGAGGGGGGUAGAAUUCCACGUGUAGCAGUGAAAUGCGUAGAGAUGUGGAGGAAUACCGAUGGCGAAGGCAGCCCCCUGGGAUAGCACUGACGCUCAUGCACGAAAGCGUGGGGAGCAAACAGG